RNAcentral lists this RNase P RNA (298 nucleotides) under Paracoccaceae bacterium. Its description in RNAcentral is "Rhodobacteraceae bacterium (hydrothermal vent metagenome) partial RNase P RNA component class A". It matches the Rfam family "Bacterial RNase P class A", at positions 1 to 300 of the family's 367-position model. Rfam says of the family: Ribonuclease P (RNase P) is a ubiquitous endoribonuclease, found in archaea, bacteria and eukarya as well as chloroplasts and mitochondria. Its best characterised activity is the generation of mature 5'-ends of tRNAs by cleaving the 5'-leader elements of precursor-tRNAs. The record is from RNAcentral. Lineage: Bacteria; Pseudomonadati; Pseudomonadota; Alphaproteobacteria; Rhodobacterales; Paracoccaceae.
CCAGAUGACCGGGCGGCCGCGCCAUGGCAACAUGGCGAGGAAAGUCCGGGCUCCACGGAAACAAGGCGCCGGGUAACACCCGGCGGGGGUGACCCCAGGGAAAGCGCCACAGAAAGCAAACCGCCCCGCCAGUCCGCUGACGGGGCAAGGGUGAAAGGGUGCGGUAAGAGCGCACCGCCUGCCCAGCAAUGGGCAGGGCAUGGCAAGCCCCGCCUGGAGCAAGACCAAAUAGGGGCGGCAGAUGGCGUGUUUCUGCGCCGCCGCCCGGGUCGGUCGCGCGAGGCGUUCAGCAAUGAGC